Molecule: long non-coding RNA, 316 nt
Organism: Coregonus clupeaformis (lake whitefish)
Lineage: Eukaryota; Metazoa; Chordata; Actinopteri; Salmoniformes; Salmonidae
Exons: 3
Source: RefSeq, a predicted model, not a curated record
CCUUGUGUCUUUCAGUGUUUUCAACUCAUCCUACACCCCUGAAGACGAGGGUCGUUGUCAGCUGACCUGAUGUCUGUGAUGAUAGACAGGGACUUCAGGUCACUGGACAGACACAGGCUGUGAAACAUCCGAGGAACCUGAUGAAGAGAAUCUCUCGACACGUGGCUGCUGUUCAACUGUCUCCCUGAGGUCACCAGGAUGGCACGCAAGUUCACCCACUCUGCUGCAGUACCUGCAUCUCUCUCUCACCUGUAUGUGUGACGCUUGGGAGGAUAUCCUCAUGCAGAUGGACCUUUGGCUCACUAAGUUAGUUCAG